This 418-nucleotide unclassified non-coding RNA is filed under the name Hevea brasiliensis (rubber tree). The record is from RNAcentral. Lineage: Eukaryota; Viridiplantae; Streptophyta; Magnoliopsida; Malpighiales; Euphorbiaceae.
GAAAAAGUCCAAGAGUAGCUGAUGAAAAUAUGACAAAUAUUUGUAGAGGUGGAACAACAUCUAGAUCAACAAGGCAACAUAAUUGGAACGGGUUUUCGAUUAUUUGUGGCGUUUUUCGCGCUCCAUUAGCGUUAUUUUCGUGUUUAAAUCAUCCAAGAAUCAAUGGAACAGAUGGAGUUUGGGUUUCUGGAGAAUUUUCACAAAUUUCUGAAAUGAAUCAUCUAAUGGUUAGUGAUAGUAUGCGUUAUGCAAUAUUAAUGUGAAGAAAGAAAAAGAAAAAAAGAUUAUGGUAAGAAAUGAAAUGAAAUUUUAGUCAUGAUGAGACUUUUUUUUUUGGUUUGUGUUUUUGGGGUUUUUUAUUAUAUAUAUUGAUGUAUGUGAAGUUUUGGAUUUGUUAUUUUUCAUUAGGAUAUCUAGG